UNUGACUUGAGUGCAGAAGGGGAGAGUGGAAUUCCAUGUGUAGCGGUGAAAUGCGUAGAUAUAUGGAGGAACACCAGUGGCGAAAGCGGCUCUCUGGUCUGUCACUGACGCUGAGGCUNGAAAGCGUGGGUAGCGAACAGGAUUAGAUACCCUGGUAGUNCACGCCGUAAACGAUGAGUGCUAGGUGUUAGGCCCUUUCCGGGGCUUAGUGCCGGAGCUAACGCAAUAAGCACUCCGCCUGGGGAGUACGACCGCAAGGUUGAAACUCAAAGGAAUUGACGGGGGCCCGCACAAGCGGUGGAGCAUGUGGUCUAAUUCGAAGCAACGCGAAGAACCUUACCAGGUCUUGACAUCCCGAUGCUAUUCUUAGAGAUAGGAAGUUACUUCGGUACAUCGGAGACAGGUGGUGCAUGGUUGUCGUCAGCUCGUGUCGUGAGAUGUUGGGUUAAGUCCCGCAACGAGCGCAACCCUUAUUGUUAGUUGCCAUCAUUAAGUUGGGCACUCUAGCGAGACUGCCGGUAAUAAACCGGAGGAAGGUGGGGAUGACGUCAAAUCAUCAUGCCCCUUAUGACCUGGGCUACACACGUGCUACAAUGGUCGGUACAACGAGUUGCGAGCCGGUGACGGCAAGCUAAUCUCUGAAAGCCGAUCUCAGUUCGGAUUGGAGGCUGCAACUCGCCUCCAUGAAGUCGGAAUCGCUAGUAAUCGCGGAUCAGCACGCCGCGGUGAAUACGUUCCCGGGCCUUGUACACACCGCCCGUCACACCACGAGAGUUUGUAACACCCGAAGUCGGUGAGGUAACCUUUUAGGGNCCA
RNAcentral lists this ribosomal RNA (816 nucleotides) under uncultured bacterium. RNAcentral describes it as "bacterial SSU rRNA". It matches the Rfam family "Bacterial small subunit ribosomal RNA", at positions 636 to 1451 of the family's 1533-position model. The record is from RNAcentral.